This 497-nucleotide ribosomal RNA is filed under the name uncultured bacterium. RNAcentral's name for it is "partial 16S ribosomal RNA". It matches the Rfam family "Bacterial small subunit ribosomal RNA", at positions 28 to 507 of the family's 1533-position model. The record is from RNAcentral.
GAUGAACGCUGGCGGCGUGCCUAAUACAUGCAAGUCGAGCGAACAGACGAGGAGCUUGCUCCUCUGACGUUAGCGGCGGACGGGUGAGUAACACGUGGAUAACCUACCUAUAAGACUGGGAUAACUUCGGGAAACCGGAGCUAAUACCGGAUAAUAUAUUGAACCGCAUGGUUCAAUAGUGAAAGACGCUUUUGCUGUCACUUAUAGAUGGAUCCGCGCCGCAUUAGCUAGUUGGUAAGGUAACGGCUUACCAAGGCAACGAUGCGUAGCCGACCUGAGAGGGUGAUCGGCCACACUGGAACUGAGACACGGUACAGACUCCUACGGGAGGCAGCAGUAGGGAAUCUUCCGCAAUGGGCGAAAGCCUGACGGAGCAACGCCGCGUGAGUGAUGAAGGUCUUCGGAUCGUAAAACUCUGUUAUUAGGGAAGAACAAAUGUGUAAGUAACUAUGCACGUCUUGACGGUACCUAAUCAGAAAGCCACGGCUAACUACGUG